UUCCGUUUCAACUCGCACGCGCCGCUCGUCUCUCUAUAGCCGGUCCGGUCGCGCCGGUCGCCGUCGACAGCCACCGCGCGAGCCUGUCCGCAUCUCUUCCCCCCGGCCUCUCCUUUGACACAGAGAGAGGGACGCUCGCGGCCACCUCUGCUCCCCUUCUCUCGCUCCCGACUGCGCCGUUGCGUUUGACGCCGGUCGCCGGCAGUCGGAGACGGGAUUGAGCUCCGCCGUUCCCUGGCGAGCUCUUCUCCCUGCCCCCUUUUCCUCCCUUCUACUACCCUUGUCAACCUACAUCAUGCAGCAACAGAGAGAGAGAGAGAUGCUACGGGUUUCGAUGCAGCGUCGUGGCCAUCCCCUUCGCUGGCUACGCGUCCGCCUUGCGGUGGGGUUCGACUCCUCUGCAGUCGAGCUACUACAGCAGGCGUGCUGUAGACGUCCACAUCGGCCGUCAAUUUCCAUCUGACCGCUCUAAUUUCCCCACUUAUUUCUGUUAAUAAUAAAGCCUUUAUGUAUUCGGAUAAAUGCUUCCGUUCACACUUCACACCACACAGUAAAGACCGGAGAGCAAAGAGAUUGAGGCAAGGGCGAGCAGACGACCUCGCCGCCGGCGAGGGUUCGUAUCUCCAGCCAAGCACACUCCCUCCCCUAGCGACGGUCCGGUGGAUGGACCUCCUGCCCGCCUGCUGCGCCGCGGCUGUGUCCCCGGCUUUCCCAGGAUCCGCCGCAAGGCGCCGUUCCCUGGGCUCACCGGCCGACGCCGUCCCCUGGGCUCACCGGCCAACGCCGUGGAAGGCAGGUAUGUGGGAGGACUCCACCCUCCUCAGGCUGCGCCGCCCUACGUCCCUCACCUCGAUUGAAGCUGCCCGCUUCCUCCAGCCGCUCGCCGAUGGGGAUCUGCCGGCCGCCCGGCCCCGCGCCACCACAGUCUAGGAAGGAGAUAUUGCCGUGCGGGCGCUUCUUGAGCUCGGGAGAGGCACAGGUCAGUACGUGGCUAGCUCCUACCUUGUAGUAUGUAGCAUGACAGUAUGUUUGGUCCCCUGUCCAUUGAUAUUGUCCGUCCAAAUCUUUAGAAUUAUAUGUAUGUAGCCUGUAUUUCUCAACGUUGUUGUGUUGUGGUCUAAAUACCGAUUGUUAUCUUACUGCAAUUGCAUUUGAUUUGAUUGCGCCGUUGUGUCGUGGUCUCACUCUCCAUAGAGAUUUUGGCAUGGUUCUGACUAGCAAAUUUCUAGAAUACUGUAAGUCAGUUUUUGGUUCAUCUUGUUUGGAAACCAGGAUACUGUGAUGUAAAUGCUCAAGUCCUUGCCCCUUCACACAUCAGCAAAACUAAGUGCUACUCUACUUUUAUUUUUCCUCACUUUAAAACAGAUAAACAGAAGCAAAAGUUGCUCUUCCUGUUCACAUAUCAUAACAGGAUGCAGAGGUUGCUCUCUCUGUAUUUGCCUUAAGUACUAUAAACACAUCACAAAUAGAAGGAAUUACUAGCUGCAGUUCACGGCUGUAGUCACGGCUGUAGUUGAGGUUGAUGCAGAGGAGCCGAACCACACAAAUGCAUGACUCUCCUCUUAUUUCUCUAUCAAACUAUUGUCAUAUCCGAGGAAAAUAUGAAUUCUUUUCCAAGUCCC
This 1622-nucleotide ribosomal RNA is filed under the name Triticum aestivum (bread wheat). RNAcentral describes it as "partial small subunit ribosomal RNA". Lineage: Eukaryota; Viridiplantae; Streptophyta; Magnoliopsida; Poales; Poaceae. The record is from RNAcentral.